CUCGUAGGCGGUUUGUCACGUCUGCUGUGAAAUUUCGAGGCUCAACCUCGAACUUGCAGUGGGUACGGGCAGGCUAGAGUGCGGUAGGGGAGAUGGGAAUUCCUGGUGUAGCGGUGGAAUGCGCAGACAUCAGGAGGAACACCAAUGGCGAAGGCACAUCUCUGGGCCGUAACUGACGCUGAGGAGCGAAAGCGUGGGGAGCGAACA
This 207-nucleotide ribosomal RNA is filed under the name uncultured bacterium. Its description in RNAcentral is "partial 16S ribosomal RNA". It matches the Rfam family "Bacterial small subunit ribosomal RNA", at positions 568 to 774 of the family's 1533-position model. The record is from RNAcentral.